Paramormyrops kingsleyae is the source of this 1315-nucleotide non-coding RNA. The record is from RefSeq and is a predicted model, not a curated record. NCBI's taxonomy places the organism in Eukaryota, Metazoa, Chordata, Actinopteri, Osteoglossiformes, Mormyridae.
CUUGGUUUGCAGAUGCUGAAGCUAUAAACCCAACACUAACUCUACACAGAUAGAACAUAGACCGUUUAGCUCUUUUACUCUUCUUGCACUUAAGAUCCCGCUACCUUCACCAAACCCUUUUGCUGCCUCUUUCUUCAGCUCCCCAUCCCGCCUGAGUGACCUCGUUUAGAAUCCCUACCAGGCCUUGUCAGGUGUUGAUGCUCAUUGCAGAACCUCAGGCUCUAUCAGGCUUUGUGUUUUCCCAGAAAAGGCGUCUACAUGCUCAAGCAAGAACAAAAAUCGAAUCAAUGGAAAAGCGUCAUCUGAGUGUGUUUUUUUUUUUUUUUUUUUUAAUGCAUUCGAGAUGGUGACUGAGCCGAAUGCAAGGAAAAACCUGAACAAAAGUCAAGUAUUAGUUUCAGUUGACCGGUGAGAUCAAAGCGGGCACCUCCGUGGUACAAUGUGCCUUUAACGUGCAUCGCCUGCAGUGUCACCCUCUCUGUGUCAGAUGUGAGGCUCUUAGCAGCUUAAAGAUGCAACUGGGGUCUUUCAUUCCGGCCGCUGCUGCUAAUAUCCAAAAUCACCGUGUGAAAUUGCCUCGGCCGGGGCGCGGCGGCGCAUUGUGGCCCUUUCAUGUGGGGGCUCUUUGUUUGUGUUGUUGUUCUUCGGUCUGUGUGUGGCAUGUCUGUCUUAGCCUCCUGCCCCUCCCCCUCCGCCAAUUGCUCUGGGACACGUGCAGUUCGCGUGACGGCGUCGUCGAGGGAUGGUUCGCAGUGGUGGCUGAGUUAAAUGAGCUCAGACACAAGCACUCUGCAACGUCCAACACAGACACUGCAGCCCAACGCGUCAAAUAGGGGGAAACGGGGGUGGUGAAGAGGAGGAGGAUGAAGAGAGGAAGUCAUGCUAGCCUGUAUGUCUCCUGCUGAGCCGAAGGUAAUGGGGAUACUGUAUUCUUCAGGAAGUGAGAGGUUGAAAAGUGGUGCGGUGAGGGCAGUGGUGUGAAUUUUGAGCACGUUGAUUUGUGGUGUCACCCUAGUACUGGGACCCCCUGGUAUGUUUCUGACUGCACUGACAUUGGUAGAAGAUCACGGCCUUGGUUUGACUGUCCUGUGCUUGUCCGUGGCUCUUUGCUCUAGCAUCUCUCAGAAUGACACGCUUUACAAGUCGAGUCAGUCGUCCCCCCACAGCUGACUCAGUGGAUGGUACCCCUGCAUGUUCAUGCACCUACAGCUUAACUGGGGACUCUUUAACAUUUGGUAACAUCUGUUGCUACCGGGAUGAACAGCAUAGACCGGUUGGUGAAAUGAGUCCCCAAGAGUAAAAAAAAAAAAAAAAA